GCGGAGAUGGCGGAAUAGGUAUACGCGCCUGAUUUAGAAUCAGGAUUUUGAGAGUUAGUUCCGAUAACCAUCGGAACUCUCUCCGUA
Molecule: transfer RNA, 87 nt
Filed under: Flavobacteriales bacterium
Lineage: Bacteria; Pseudomonadati; Bacteroidota; Flavobacteriia; Flavobacteriales
Description: tRNA-Leu
Rfam family: tRNA
About the family: Transfer RNA (tRNA) molecules are approximately 80 nucleotides in length. Their secondary structure includes four short double-helical elements and three loops (D, anti-codon, and T loops).
Source: RNAcentral